UAUAGAGUGGCGAACGGGUGAGUAACACGUGACCAACCUGCCCCUUGCUCCGGGACAACCCAGGGAAACCUCGGCUAAUACCGGAUACUCCGCGCAGCCCGCAUGGGAGGCGCGGGAAAGCCCAGACGGCAAGGGAUGGGGUCGCGGCCCAUUAGGUAGACGGCGGGGUAACGGCCCACCGUGCCCGCGAUGGGUAGCCGGGUUGAGAGACCGAUCGGCCACAUUGGGACUGAGAUACGGCCCAGACUCC
This 250-nucleotide ribosomal RNA is filed under the name uncultured Coriobacteriaceae bacterium. RNAcentral's name for it is "partial 16S ribosomal RNA". It matches the Rfam family "Bacterial small subunit ribosomal RNA", at positions 89 to 339 of the family's 1533-position model. Lineage: Bacteria; Bacillati; Actinomycetota; Coriobacteriia; Coriobacteriales; Coriobacteriaceae. The record is from RNAcentral.